RNAcentral lists this ribosomal RNA (119 nucleotides) under Pteropus alecto (black flying fox). Lineage: Eukaryota; Metazoa; Chordata; Mammalia; Chiroptera; Pteropodidae. The record is from RNAcentral.
AUCUAUGGCCAUGCCACACUGAAUGUGCCCGAUCUCGUCUGAUCUCAGAAGCUAAGCAGGGUCGGGCCUAGUUAGUAGUUGUAUGGGAGACCACCUAGGAAGACCAGGUGCUGUAGAUG